GUGGCAGGCGGCUCUUCAAGUCGGAUGUAAAAUACUCUCGGCUUAACUGAGAGGGAGUCGUCCGAGUACUGUUGGGUCGUGGAGAGCAGCAGAGGGAGAUGGAAUUCCCGGUGUAGUGGUGAAAUGCGUAGAUAUCGGGAGGAACAUCAGUGGCGAAAGCGGUCUCCUAGGCUGUUUCUGACGCUGAGGCCCUAAAGCGUGGGGAGCAAACAGGAUUAGAUACCCUGGUAGUCCACGCCCUAAACUAUGGAUACUAGGUAUGGGGGGUAGUCGACCCCCUCCGUGCCGAAGUUAACACGUUAAGUUUCCCGCCUGGGGAGUACGGCCGCAAGGUUAAA
Molecule: ribosomal RNA, 338 nt
Filed under: uncultured bacterium
Lineage: Bacteria
Description: bacterial SSU rRNA
Rfam family: Bacterial small subunit ribosomal RNA
Source: RNAcentral